This 421-nucleotide long non-coding RNA is filed under the name Mytilus galloprovincialis (Mediterranean mussel). Lineage: Eukaryota; Metazoa; Mollusca; Bivalvia; Mytilida; Mytilidae. The record is from RNAcentral.
ACUAGUGUGGAUCUAGCCGUCGAUAGCAGCCGGCGUUAAUAUUCAUGAGGCCAGCCUUCAAUAAUAUUCAUGAGCCGUCAAUAAUAUUCAUGAGAUGACUUGCGUUCGAAGAAGUGUUGUUAGAAACUAUGAACGAUAAUUAUAAUUAAAUAACGUUCCUAUUUAUAUUUGAUAUUACUUCAAAUAGGCAUGUCAAUGGGUGUCUUCUUCGAGGUCCGCGUUUAUUGAAUCAACUUUGGGUCUUCUUCAAGGUCUGCGUCUUUAAACAACAUUGUAAAUGUAAUAAAAACAAUGUAAAUGCCUCCAUAAAUAUAAAACAAAGAAAUGGUCUUUUAACAUUCUGUGAUUAGAGAAAUAAUGUAAACUAAAGCAAUAACAAGUUUUAAAAAAAUAUAAUUAAAUAUAGAAAUUAAACGGGACA